AUGAGCAGAAURCGCAGAUCAGGCAAGUCAGUGAUGUUCAGCUCUACCAAAAGCAAUUGCAAUUCAACAUCGGUGAACGUGUCCUCAAAGCGAAACACAGAAUCCGCCAGCGAUCCGUUAAGCAUGUGCAUGAUGAGGCAAAAGCGUUCAUCACUAAAAGCAGGUUUCUUUUCCCUCUUUCCAGGUGAACUCACUGCAGAGCUCAGGGAACGUGAUGCCAGAAUUGGUACGUGUCCAUCUCCUCCCUUUGAGGACAGCAAAUCUGAGGCACAUUUGCAGGCAAUGUGUCAUUUCAUCAUUAUUAUUGCUUUUAAAAUUAAAGUCAUGAUUUCAUGCACUGAAUUCCACGGAUUUCAACUGGAAUUUUUCAAGACUACUCUGAAAAAGAUAUCUAAAAUAAAACUAGAGUAUUGUAUUAUAAAUAACACACCUGUUAAGCAUAUAUGCUUGAGUAAGAGGACGUUAAUGAAAAUCACUUUUUUCUCUUUUAAGAUGACCUCUCUGCAGCAAUUGGUAAGUAUGUUUCCUGCCUUCCAGCAAAGCAAAUACAUAGUUUAG
RNAcentral lists this long non-coding RNA (558 nucleotides) under Apteryx rowi (Okarito brown kiwi). RNAcentral's name for it is "lncRNA (ENSARWG00000010905.1)". The record is from RNAcentral. Lineage: Eukaryota; Metazoa; Chordata; Aves; Apterygiformes; Apterygidae.